RNAcentral lists this ribosomal RNA (253 nucleotides) under uncultured bacterium. RNAcentral's name for it is "partial 16S ribosomal RNA". It matches the Rfam family "Bacterial small subunit ribosomal RNA", at positions 524 to 776 of the family's 1533-position model. The record is from RNAcentral.
UACGUAGGGGGCAAGCGUUGUCCGGAAUUAUUGGGCGUAAAGAGCGUGUAGGCGGCCAGAUAAGUCCGCUGUGAAAUCUCGAGGCUCAACUUCGAGCUGUCGGUGGAAACUAUCUGGCUAGGGUCCGGAAGAGGAGAAUGGAAUUCCUGGUGUAGCGGUGAAAUGCGCAGAUAUCAGGAAGAACACCCGUGGCGAAGGCGGUUCUCUGGGACGGUACUGACGCUGAGACGCGAAAGCGUGGGGAGCGAACAGG